RNAcentral lists this ribosomal RNA (522 nucleotides) under uncultured bacterium. RNAcentral's name for it is "bacterial SSU rRNA". It matches the Rfam family "Bacterial small subunit ribosomal RNA", at positions 32 to 521 of the family's 1533-position model. The record is from RNAcentral.
AAUCAACGCUGGCGGCGUGCCUCAGACAUGCAAGUCGAACGAGAAAGUCCCCUUCGGGGGAUAAGUAAAGUGGCGCACGGGUGAGUAACACGUAGGUAAUCUACCUUCGGGUGGGGAAGUAACCCAGGGAAACUUAGGGCUAACACCGCAUAAUGCAGCGGCACCACAUGGUGACAGUUGUUAAAGCGGGGGGAGUUUUAGGUACCUCGCGCCUGAAGAGGAGCCUGCGGCGGAUUAGCUAGUUGGUGAGGUAACGGCUCACCAAGGUAACGAUCCGUAGCCGGCCUGAGAGGGCGGUCGGCCACACUGACACUGACAUACGGGUCAGACUCCUACGGGAGGCAGCAGUCGGGAAUUUUGGGUCAAUGGGCGAAAGCCUGACCCAGCAACGCCGCGUGAAGGAUGAAAUCCCUCGGGAUGUAAACUUCGCAAGAAUGGGGAAGAAAUUAGUAGGGGUUAAGUACCCCCUAUGAUGACGUACCAUUUGUAAGCUCCGGCUAACUCCGUGCCAGCCGCCGCCGU